Molecule: ribosomal RNA, 253 nt
Filed under: uncultured bacterium
Lineage: Bacteria
Description: partial 16S ribosomal RNA
Rfam family: Bacterial small subunit ribosomal RNA
Source: RNAcentral
UACGUAGGGUGCAAGCGUUGUCCGGAAUUAUUGGGCGUAAAGAGCUCGUAGGUGGUCUGUUGCGUCGGCUGUGAAAACCCGAGGCUCAACCUCGGGCCUGCAGCCGAUACGGGCAGACUAGAGUUCGGCAGGGGAGACUGGAAUUCCUGGUGUAGCGGUGGAAUGCGCAGAUAUCAGGAGGAACACCGGUGGCGAAGGCGGGUCUCUGGGCAGUAACUGACGCUGAGGAGCGAAAGCGUGGGGAGCGAACAGG